Molecule: ribosomal RNA, 177 nt
Filed under: uncultured Vibrio sp.
Lineage: Bacteria; Pseudomonadati; Pseudomonadota; Gammaproteobacteria; Vibrionales; Vibrionaceae
Description: partial 16S ribosomal RNA
Rfam family: Bacterial small subunit ribosomal RNA
Source: RNAcentral
UGGGGAAUAUUGCACAAUGGGCGCAAGCCUGAUGCAGCCAUGCCGCGUGUAUGAAGAAGGCCUUCGGGUUGUAAAGUACUUUCAGUCGUGAGGAAGGUGGUGUUGUUAAUAGCAGCAUCAUUUGACGUUAGCGACAGAAGAAGCACCGGCUAACUCCGUGCCAGCAGCCGCGGUAAU